CCCGGUUCCGAAGAUUAUACAAACUCUGUGGUGGAUUCUGCAUCGAAAUAUUGCUCCUUGCCUGCAAGCAUGGCAAAGGUUCAACCAGCUAGCCGGUACCGGUCGAGGGGACUCCUACUGGAACCUUGAGUCGCAUGUCACUCAUGUGAUCUACAGUAACCACUGAAUUCGCUCCACAGACAACAUGGCAAAGAUGAAAAUUUAUUUUGAUAUUAAAAAUAAACUCUUGAAGAGUAUUUGUGACAUUCCAAGGCCAUCUAUCUUGAUGAAAUUAUAUCAUGCGUUCCAAAUUCUAGAAUCCUCAAAUUAGAAUUUUAUCCAUUUAAUCAUAGGCAUCAACCAGACGAGCGGGUAUUGGUGGUUAUGCAUGAAAGCACUGCAGCCAGUUCAACACUAUUGCUGCUUUCUGGUUGAGAGAGAGAGAGAGAG
RNAcentral lists this long non-coding RNA (429 nucleotides) under Elaeis guineensis (African oil palm). RNAcentral's name for it is "long non-coding RNA (EGUI_LNC000739)". The record is from RNAcentral. Lineage: Eukaryota; Viridiplantae; Streptophyta; Magnoliopsida; Arecales; Arecaceae.